Molecule: long non-coding RNA, 402 nt
Filed under: Felis catus (domestic cat)
Lineage: Eukaryota; Metazoa; Chordata; Mammalia; Carnivora; Felidae
Description: lncRNA (ENSFCAG00000048980.1)
Source: RNAcentral
AAACAAGAUUUAAUGAGAGUCUCCAUCCCCAAAGUAAAGCUUAAGCCAACAGUUGUGGGAAGAACAAUAUUGGAUUUUGGAUUCUAUAGCUCAGAGAACCACCAAGGUCCUCAUCUUUAGUUACUAGCUGUCUGACGUUGGGUACUGCCUGAUCCCUGAGUCUUCUGUCUGGAGUUCCUCCUUGCAGAUACCUUCUUUGGAGCCAUUUGCAGGCAGUUUCCAGGCUUCAAAACUGGCCCAUCCUAUCAGAACCCUUCUGCUCAGAGUUCCUUUCCCGCAAAGUAGUCUGCUUUCUCAGAUGUUAAUAGAUUCUGAUAGCUUAGGAUAUCAUCCUUUAAGACGCAUCCAUUAAAUGCAUGUGCCCUUUAAUAAAAUGCCUUAGCUGAGAGAAGUCGAUCUCCA